This 1102-nucleotide ribosomal RNA is filed under the name uncultured organism. RNAcentral's name for it is "bacterial SSU rRNA". It matches the Rfam family "Bacterial small subunit ribosomal RNA", at positions 342 to 1435 of the family's 1533-position model. The record is from RNAcentral.
CGGGUGGCAGCAGUCGAGAAUAAUUCGCAAUGGACGAUAGUCUGAUGGUGCAACGCCGCGUGGAGGAUGACGGUCUUCGGAUUGUAAACUCCUGUCAUCGGGGAGUAAGACCUGGCUGUGAAUAGCAGACAGGGUUGAUAGUACCCGAAGAGGAAGGGACGGCUAACUUCGUGCCAGCAGCCGCGGUAAUACGAAGGUCCCGAGCGUUGUUCGGAAUCACUGGGCGUAAAGGGAGCGUAGGCGGCAGGGUAAGUCAGAUGUGAAAUCCCGGGGCUCAACCCCGGGAACGGCAUCCGAUACUGCCCUGCUUGAGUAAUGGAGGGGUAGCUGGAAUUCUCGGUGUAGCAGUGAAAUGCGUGGAUAUCGAGAGGAACACUCGUGGCGAAAGCGAGCUACUGGACAUUGACUGACGCUGAGGCUCGAAGGCCAGGGUAGCGAAAGGGAUUAGGUACCCCUGUAGUCCUGGCAGUAAACGGUGUGCGCUUGGUGUGAGGGGUUUCGACCCCCCUUGUGCCGGAGCUAACGCGUUAAGCGCACCGCCUGGGAAGUACGGUCGCAAGACUAAAACUCAAAGAAAUUGACGGGGACCCGCACAAGCGGUGGAGUAUGUGGCUUAAUUCGAUGCAACGCGAAGAACCUUACCUGGGCUUGACAUGCAUUGCUAAUCCGCUGAAAGGCGGUGAGUCUUCGGACACCUUGCACAGGUGCUGCAUGGCCGUCGUCAGCUCGUGUCGUGAGAUGUUGGGUUAAGUCCCGCAACGAGCGCAACCCCUGUGAUUAGUUGCCAGCACGUGAAGGUGGGGACUCUAAUCAGACUGCCCAGAUCAACUGGGAGGAAGGUGGGGACGACGUCAGGUCAGUAUGGCCCUUACGCCCAGGGCUGCACACGUACUACAAUGCCCAGCACAAUUGGAACCGAUACCGCGAGGUGGAGGGAAUCCGAAAAACUGGGCCCAGUUCGGAUUGGAGGCUGCAACUCGCCUCCAUGAAGCCGGAAUCGCUAGUAAUGGCACAUCAGCUACGGUGCCGUGAAUACGUUCCCGGGUCUUGUACACACCGCCCGUCACAUCAUGGAAGCCGGUAGCACCCGAAGUAUCUUUAC